AUUGAACGCUGGCGGCAUGCCUUACACAUGCAAGUCGAACGGUAACAGGUCUUCGGAUGCUGACGAGUGGCGAACGGGUGAGUAAUGCAUCGGAACGUGCCCAGUAGUGGGGGAUAGCCCGGCGAAAGCCGGAUUAAUACCGCAUACGACCUGAGGGUGAAAGGGGGGGAUCGCAAGACCUCUCGCUAUUGGAGCGGCCGAUGUCAGAUUAGCGAGUUGGUGGGGUAAAGGCCUACCAAGGCAACGAUCUGUAGUUGGUCUGAGAGGACGACCAGCCACACUGGGACUGAGACACGGCCCAGACUCCUACGGGAGGCAGCAGUGGGGAAUUUUGGACAAUGGGCGCAAGCCUGAUCCAGCAAUGCCGCGUGCAGGAAGAAGGCCUUCGGGUUGUAAACUGCUUUUGUCAGGGAAGAAAUCUUCUGGGUUAAUACCUCGGGAGGAUGACGGUACCUGAAGAAUAAGCACCGGCUAACUACGUGCCAGCCGCCGCGGUAA
Molecule: ribosomal RNA, 498 nt
Filed under: uncultured bacterium
Lineage: Bacteria
Description: partial 16S ribosomal RNA
Rfam family: Bacterial small subunit ribosomal RNA
Source: RNAcentral